GUGGGUAGUUUGACUGGGGCGGUCUCCUCCCAAAGAGUAACGGAGGAGCACGAAGGUUAGCUAAUCCUGGUCGGACAUCAGGAGGUUAGUGCAAUGGCAUAAGCUAGCUUGACUGCGAGAGUGACGGCUCGAGCAGGUGCGAAAGCAGGUCAUAGUGAUCCGGUGGUUCUGAAUGGAAGGGCCAUCGCUCAACGGAUAAAAGGUACUCCGGGGAUAACAGGCUGAUACCGCCCAAGAGUUCAUAUCGACGGCGGUGUUUGGCACCUCGAUGUCGGCUCAUCACAUCCUGGGGCUGAAGUAGGUCCCAAGGGUAUGGCUGUUCGCCAUUUAAAGUGGUACGCGAGCUGGGUUUAGAACGUCGUGAGACAGUUCGGUCCCUAUCUGCCGUGGGCGCUGGAGAAUUGAGGGGGGCUGCUCCUAGUACGAGAGGACCGGAGUGGACGCAUCACUGGUGUUCGGGUUGUCAUGCCAAUGGCACUGCCCGGUAGCUAAAUGCGGAAAAGAUAAGUGCUGAAAGCAUCUAAGCACGAAACUUGCCCCGAGAUGAGUUCUCCCUGACCCUUUAAGGGUCCUGAAGGAA
This 580-nucleotide ribosomal RNA is filed under the name Enterobacter asburiae. Its description in RNAcentral is "partial 23S ribosomal RNA". It matches the Rfam family "Bacterial large subunit ribosomal RNA", at positions 2261 to 2845 of the family's 2925-position model. The record is from RNAcentral. Lineage: Bacteria; Pseudomonadati; Pseudomonadota; Gammaproteobacteria; Enterobacterales; Enterobacteriaceae.